UACGAAGGGAGCUAGCGUUGUGCGGAAUCACUGGGCGUAAAGCGCACGUAGGCGGAUGUGUCAGUCAGGGGUGAAAUCCCGGAGCUCAACUUCGGAACUGCCUCUGAUACAGCACGUCUUGAGUCCGAUAGAGGUGGGUGGAAUUCCUAGUGUAGAGGUGAAAUUCGUAGAUAUUAGGAAGAACACCGGUGGCGAAGGCGGCCCACUGGAUCGGUACUGACGCUGAGGUGCGAAAGCGUGGGGAGCAAACAGG
This 253-nucleotide ribosomal RNA is filed under the name uncultured bacterium. RNAcentral describes it as "partial 16S ribosomal RNA". It matches the Rfam family "Bacterial small subunit ribosomal RNA", at positions 524 to 776 of the family's 1533-position model. The record is from RNAcentral.